UCUCUCUUUGUUUUUACUCUCUAUCCUGUAAGAUACAACAGAUGUUCCUAGGGUUUGCUCAGCCUUCCCAUUCGCAAAUUGAAGAAUUUUGAAGGCUCGUCCUCAUCUCCUAUCCUCGUCUCCUAUUUUCUGCUCAAUACUAUCUUCAAAUCUAGGUAUUUCUUUGGUGUUAUUUUUAUGCUCUGCCUUCCCAUUCCCCCAUUUUCGGACUGUGUUUUUCUUUUUAUUUGCUCCACACUAUCUUCAAAUUGUGUAAUCGCCUUUGCUUUUUUAGAGUUAUUAACUUAUUUUUUAUCGCCUUAAAUUAUGGGCUUUCACUAAUUCAUUGCUGCUUAUACUUUAUUGGGCACUAUAGCUAGGGUUCUUCACUCAUACUACAUUAUUUUUGUUGUAUUAACCCAACCACUUAUUUAGUUUAUUUGUUGCUUUUUUAAUGUGCCCUCGAUUUGUUGUUUGCUGCUUAAUAGAUCAUAACCCAUUUAGUUUUUCUGCAAAAAUCUAAAUUUAUUUCUGAGUGACUUUUGAAUUUCUUGUUCUAUUUGUGUUACUGAAUUGGGUAAAACCCAUUUGGUGAAUUUUCCUUGAAAGCGUGAUUUAUCCGUGCGCUUUGCAUGCGAAUUUGUUGUUUUAUUUGUUUUGAUUGGUGAUAGUUUGGGAGAUUUUGAAUGAAGGACAACUGGACAAGAGUGUGCGAUGUGGUAAGAAUUGAAGUUUGGUGUUUUUGAGAGAUGGGGUGUGUUUUUGGGAAAGAGAAUUUGUCGUCUAGGCUCUUAUUGUCUAGGUUGUAGCUGGGAACGGGAGGAGGAAUGAGAGAGAGAGAGAGAGAGAGAGAGAUUCGACUGCAUCGUUGGGGAGAAGAGAGAAAGUAAUAGUUGGUUCAGUAAAUAAGGAGGAGGACCAUGGUAGAUACAAAGGCGGAGGGGGUGGUGAAGUUUAGAAUGGUGGAGAUAAAAAUGGGGAGCCGAAUGAUGGAAAUGUGCAGUAGUUGAGAGGUGAGAGGAGGGGGUCUAGGGCAAAUCCUCGGCUAAGUAAUCUCCCCAAUUUUGCUCUGCUUUAUUGUUUUAGAUAAAAACACAAUCUGAGAGGAGGUGUUAUUUCUUUGCUUUGCUUUGCUUUAUUGUUUUAGAUAAAAAGCUUUUCAGGAAAAAAAAGAGUUAAGAUAUCCUUCCAAUUUUGUCCAUGUCCAAAAGUAUGACUCAUUGUACUUGAGUUUUCAAGAGUAAGUCCUGUAGGAUUGUUUAAUAUCAAACAACAAAUUUUGUUUGUGAAAUAAAAAUGGUUUCUUUAUGAGGUAAUAGAAGGAUAUGCUUCAUGCCAUUAUCAAGAAGCCAUCAAACUAUGCCUUUAACUUGUGAACUUAUACUGAUUAUGUUUUCUAUAUCGAUGGAUGUUGACAUGUUUUGAAAAUUUUAACGUCCUCAUUAUAAAUUGACUUUAACAAAUGGACAAACUGAUAAGUAUGGAUGACUUGCCUACUCAGAAUAGAAUAUUGAAUUAUAUUUCUUGGUUUGGAAUACUAAUAAUUGGAUGACAUAGAAGCUCUUUCUUUCUCAAUGAAGUGACAAAAUUUCAAUUAUUUCCAUCUCUUGUUUCUCUUAUCAUUUAUUGCCACUUCAAAAUGGAUGCCACAAGUCUGUUAUUGCUUACAUUCCAAGAAAUGAAACCUGCAUUAGUACUGACAUUAUCUUUGGCUUAUAUGCUUUGAUAUCGUUUACUUGUUUAUUGUAUAUUUGCUAAGGCACUUCAAGGUUUUCUACUGGAAAUAAUUUAAAACUUGAGCAGGUUAUUUUAGUGUUGCUUAACAUGUUAUGGCAAGGCACUUCUAAUAUGCUUUGUUUUCCCCGCAUUAUUCCUAUCAAUGGGUUAAUACUUUUGAGCAAUAUACUGGAUAUUGAAACUGAAACAUUUAACUUGAAGAGUUUUGAGCAAUUGGUGGUAUGUGAUUAUAAUUAAAUACAUUAAUGUCCUCCUCAAAUCGCCUAUGGAAAGUGUUAUAUAUUUCUUGAUAAUUUGAUGUAUAUUCAAUAUAGCUUCAACAUGGGUAGUCACAGAGUUAGGAAUAAGGAGCUAAUGUCAUGGUCGGACGAGAAUGAACACAUUUUUAUAAAUUCUUUACGAGAGAGUGAAAUCAAAUGCAUUGCAAUAUUCUAUAUUCACGAAAGACGAAUGGGAUAGGAUCAAUGAAAUCAUGAUAGCUUAUACAAAAAUGGAUAACAACAUAGAUAGAUUAAAGGGAAAGUGAAACCGCUUACGUAAGAUUCAUCGCAUGUUCUUUGAACUUUUGGGAUAUACAGGUGUUACAUGGGAUCCAAAUACAAACAAAAGUUAAUGUUGCAGAGGAAGUUUAGCAACACUUUUAUACGCUACAUAUUUUUUUUUUAAAGAAUAUUUUCGUCAUUAGUUUUUAUCUUAUCAAUUUUACAUUUUUUUGUUGAACACUAUGAUAAUGUGACUUCUUUUUUCAAUGAUAGAUUAACAAAUCGGAUUACAAGAUGUUCAAAAGAGAAGAAUGUAAGCAAUACCACACUCUUGGGAAGAUAUUUAGCGGAACUACAGCUUCUGAAGGAUUAGGCAAUACCUCAACUUAGCUUCCAAACACAUCAAAGGAAGAAAGGCAACAAGAAAAAGAUUUUUUGAAUAGAGGAGUACAUGUAUGUACGGAAAAUGGUGAUGAAGUCAAUGAGGUUUCAAGUACUCGUCGAUGUGACAAAAUUGGUACAUCGAGUGAACGUUGACGUAAAGAACCUAAGAUUAGUAAAAGUGAUAAACUCGAGGUCUGCAUGGCAGAGUGGUCAUCUACAGUUAGUUUGAGGAAUGAAGAAACUGAACUUAGAACACUUUACCUAAAAGAAAAGCUUGCAAAGAUCCAAGAAAAUCAUGUAAUCCAUUGGAUAAUGAAAUAGGGCUGGACAUGGUCCGAUUCGGUUCGAUUCUAAUGAGAACUGAACCGAUCCGAAAUUUUCGGGUAUUUAGUAAGUGGAACCGUCGGAUCCAAAUUUAAUUAAGGAACAGUUUGGGUUCGAUUCCAUUCGGUCCGGUUCGAUUCCGUAUUAUAAUUAAUUUUUUUAAUAUAUACAAAGUUAUGUUAAUUUAAUUAAUGAUAUGUUCAAUAUUAGCUCUUACAAAAUAACGUAGUUCAAUCUUAUGUGUUUCACGUCUCUCUUUGCUGAAUUAUUCAUAAAUUUGAUUAUUAAAAUCACAGAAAGAGAAAGAUAGCGAGCUCAAAAUAAUUAAAAGAGAUGUUAUAGAGCUUUAAUUCGAUUUUCUCUGGUAGAAACGACACUACAGUAGAAUAACAGAUUUGGAUAAAAUUGAAGUUAAUUUGAUUAAGUUGAUUUUGAACUGAAAAUUAGAAAUAGGAAAAUCAUAUUUUGUGGUUUGAACUAAAUUAACAAAUUUAUUUAGAAAAAAUAAAAUAAUUUUACUUAUUUAAAAUAAAUUAAUUAAAAAAAUUAUAGAAAUUCGAUUCUUAUUCGGUUCUUCGGGUCUUGACCUAGAAUCGAGAACUGAACUAUAUCAGUCGAUUUUUAAUUCAAAUACCCGUUCGGGUAUUUAACUUGAGAAGAACCGUCGGGUUCGGUUCGGUUCGGGAGUUUUAUCCAGCCCUAUAAUGAAGUUAAUAGUCCGGAUACUUAUUCAAAUGUUAUUUGUUUGGACAUCUUAAUAUGGAAGGGGUGUCCAAUGAGAUUUAUAUAAAAGCAAUAAAGGCUUUUGAGGAUCCCUAUUUUAGGGUGUCAUUUGUGAAGAUGCCAGAAGCAAUGAGAGGGCCUAUCUUAGAACUACUAUGGUGUGACUGUUGCUUUAAUUUUUCUGGUAUCGUGUUGUUUUAAUUUGUGAUGUUGAAGGUUGAAGUGCUGUGUUAUUUUCAUAGCUUGAAGUAUUUUUUCCCCUUUCGUGGUGAUGUUGUACUGUUUUCAUUACAAACUUAGUAAUGUUAGUUGGAGAACUGAUGUUAAUUUUUCUUUAGUUUCUGAAUGCUUGAUUGCUUGUUUUAUUUGAAUGAAUGAUGGUUGAUAUGACUUAUAAUAAUUAUUGUGGUUAUAUUUUGUUUACAGUAUGGCCAGUGAAUCAAAUAUGGAUAAUAAUGUGAGUACCGAUGAUUCCAUUGAUGAAGAUUCGAGUGAUGGUGAUUUGUUAUGUAUGGAUAAUUUUAACGCAAAUUUUGGAUAUUUAAUGGUGCUAAAUUGUUUUGUUGCCAACAAAGGAAUUACUAUUGGCAAGAGACCUUGUAGAACAUCAUUGCUUACCGAAAAAAUGUACAUGCAGA
RNAcentral lists this long non-coding RNA (4267 nucleotides) under Olea europaea (common olive). Its description in RNAcentral is "long non-coding RNA (OEUR_LNC005234)". Lineage: Eukaryota; Viridiplantae; Streptophyta; Magnoliopsida; Lamiales; Oleaceae. The record is from RNAcentral.